UGAUGACGUCAACGCUGACGCGUUCAUUCAGCGUCAAAUCUUCGGAGCUGAGUGAAAGACAAAGACAGAGUUUAUUGAAGGACAGUGAGAAGAUGAGUGAUCCAGAACCCUGCAGAAUUAAACAGGAAGAGACUGAAGAACUAAUAGCUUUGCAGAGGAAUGAAUGCGUACUGCUGUAACAUGUUACUUAAUUCAUUUUCAGAUGUGGUAGGGAUGGAGGAGAGUGAAGAACUGAGUGAAGAUGAGGAGAAACAUCAUGUCAGAAGUGAAGAUACUCACUCAAAGGACAAAGACGUUUUUGUAACGGAAGGAGGAACAGCCAAAAGUUUCACCUGCACUGAGUGCGGAAACCGCUUUAACCGAAAAUAUGCUCUCGAGCUUCACAUGAGGAUCCACAGCGGAGAGAAACCGCACAAGUGUUCACACUGCGACAAGAGAUUCAAUCAGUUAGGACACCUGAAAACGCACGAGAGGACUCACACUGGAGAGAAACCCUACACGUGUGCUCAGUGUGGGAAGAGUUUCACUCAGUCA
This is a non-coding RNA of Danio rerio (zebrafish), 534 nucleotides long. The record is from Ensembl. NCBI's taxonomy places the organism in Eukaryota, Metazoa, Chordata, Actinopteri, Cypriniformes, Danionidae.